This is an RNA transcript of Gigantopelta aegis, 387 nucleotides long. It is a transcript of the gene named acid-sensing ion channel 5-like, with no coding region annotated. The record is from RefSeq and is a predicted model, not a curated record. NCBI's taxonomy places the organism in Eukaryota, Metazoa, Mollusca, Gastropoda, Neomphalida, Peltospiridae. The transcript is spliced from 2 exons.
GUCUACCCGGUCGGGGGAGAUUAGCUGUGAUGCCCGUUUCUUGUACUCUGUAAAGAGGUUUAUUUCUUUAGCUGUUUUGCUUUUUCUUUCAAACGUUUGCAGUUUUCAAAAAGUGUAGGAAAAGAGGAAAAGUAGUCGUCUGGCUUCUUGUGAUUCUCCUGUCGUCUGCGUGGAUGAUGUGGAACAUCCAGGGCCGUGUCAUCUACUUCCUGUCUCGACCUUCCGCCAUUACAACCAAUAUUAAGUUCAAGGACGAACUGAUAUUUCCAAAAGUCACGAUAUGUAAUCAGAACACGUUUAGGUAAAGUGUCUGUUUAUUGGACUAGUGGAAAGAAAAAAAACAGUAGUUGUGGCAGUCCUCUUCUGGCGGUGCAAGAGAGAUGGAUG